This is an RNA transcript of Phaethon lepturus (White-tailed tropicbird), 3291 nucleotides long. It is a transcript of the gene named protocadherin Fat 3 pseudogene, with no coding region annotated. The record is from RefSeq and is a predicted model, not a curated record. The transcript has a single exon. NCBI's taxonomy places the organism in Eukaryota, Metazoa, Chordata, Aves, Phaethontiformes, Phaethontidae.
AUGGGCCGCUGGUCAGGCUCACCGUCAUACCUUGCCCUUCUGAUUGUCAAGUUCCUGGCAUCCAUUUGCCAGGUAGCUCACGGGAUCACCCCGCUUGGCUUUCACUUUACACAUUCCACUUACAAUGCUACAGUGUAUGAGAAUUCUGCAGCCAGGACCUAUGUCAACAGUCAAACGAGGAUGGGCAUUACCUUGGCUGACCUUUCAUGGGAUAUCAAGUACAGGAUAGUGUCUGGCGAUGACGAGGGCUUUUUUAAAGCAGAGGAAGUCGUCAUUGCUGACUUUUGCUUCCUAAGAAUAAGGACUAAAGGUGGGAAUUCUGCUAUAUUGAACAGAGAAAUCCAGGACAACUAUUUAUUGAUGGUGAAAGGGUCUGUCAGAGGAGAGGACUUGGAAGCGUGGACAAAAGUGAACAUCCAGGUUUUGGAUAUGAAUGACUUAAGACCUUUGUUUUCACCAACUACAUACUCUGUCACGAUAGCAGAAAGCACUCCUUUAAGGACUAGCAUUGCACAGGUGACUGCCACAGAUGCAGAUAUUGGGUCCAAUGGUGAAUUUUAUUAUUACUUUAAAAACAAAGUUGAUCUCUUCUCAGUUCAUCCUACGAGUGGUGUUAUCUCCUUAAGUGGCCGGUUAAACUAUGAUGAGAAAAACAGAUACGAUCUUGAGAUUUUGGCUGUGGACCGUGGGAUGAAGCUUUAUGGAAACAAUGGCGUAAGCAGCACUGCCAAGCUUUAUGUUCACAUUGAACGUAUAAAUGAACAUGCCCCAACGAUAAACGUAGUAACCCAUAUUCCCUUCCCAUCGGACAAGGAGCCUACCUAUGCAGUUGUUAACAUUGAUGACCUAGAUGAAGGAGCUAAUGGAGAAAUAGAAUCUGUUUCUAUUGUGGCUGGAGAUCCGCUAGAACAGUUCUUUCUGACUAAAGAAGGUAAAUGGAUGAAUGAGUACAAAAUCAAAGAAAGAAAGCCUAUUGACUGGGACAGCUUCCCAUAUGGUUAUAACUUGACUCUCCAAGCCAAGGACAAAGGAUCUCCUCAGAAAUUUUCUGCAGUCAAACUGGUCCACAUUGCUAGUCCCAAGAAAGAAAGUAUUCCCUUGAAGUUUGAAAAGGAAGCAUAUGAUGUUUCAAUCAGUGAAUUCUCGCCUCCUGGUGUGGUGGUUGCAGUAGUUAAGCUGAUGCCUGAACCACAGGGUGUGGAAUAUAGAUUAUCACCAAGUGAGGAAGCUGAGUAUUUUAAGAUCAAUCCCAACACAGGCCUUAUUACUACUGCCUGUCCUUUGAAAAUCAUUGAGAAGGACCUCUAUGAAUUACAAGUAUAUGCAAACAAAGGUGGUGAUUUAAAAGCACAAGUUACUGUCAGGUUAGAAGAUGCCAAUGAUCACACUCCAGAGUUCCAGCAACCUUCGUACAGCUCGUUCGUCAAUGAAAGCAUCCCCGUGGGGUCUAGCGUUUUGGCAGUUUCAGCAGUUGACAAAGAUAGGGGAGAAAAUGGAUACAUAACAUACAGCAUUGCCAGUCUGAACUCACUACCAUUUACUAUAAACCAGUUUACAGGUGUCAUCAGCACUUCUGAAGAACUGGAUUUUGAGUCCUCACCAGAAAGCUACAGGUUCAUUGUGAGAGCUUCUGACUGGGGUUCUCCCUACCGCCAUGAAAGCGAGGUCAAUGUCACCAUAUACAUAGGCAAUGUCAAUGAUAACAAACCCCUCUUUGAAAAAGUGGCGUGUCAGGGCGUGAUUUCAUCUGAUUUUCCUGUUGGUGGUCACAUCACUGCCGUUUCUGCAAUAGAUAUAGAUGAGUUAGAGCUUGUGAAGUACAAAAUAAUCUCUGGAAAUGAACUUGGCAUUUUUUAUUUAAAUCCUGACUCUGGUGUCCUGCAACUUAAAAAAUCUCUAAUUAAUUCUGGCAUAAAGAACAGCAAUUUUGGCCUUAAGAUCACGGCAACGGAUGGAGAGAACUUUGCUGAUGCUAUGUUUGUUAAUAUUUCGGUAGUUCAUGGGAAAGUGUCUUCCAAGACCUUUAGCUGUAGAGAAACUAGAGUUGCUCAGAAGCUAGCAGAAAAAUUACUCAAAAAGGCAAAAGCAAAUGUGAAACUGAAUUCAGAAGAUGGUUUUCUCGAUUUUUAUUCGGUGAACAGGCAGGCACCCCAUUUUGACAAAUCCUUCCCUACUGAUGUAAAGGUUUCAGAGGAUCUGCCAGUUGGUGCCACCAUCCUGAGGAUAAAAGCCUAUGAUGCAGACUCAGGCUUUAAUGGGAGAGUAGUUUAUACAAUUUCUGAUGGUAAUGUAGAUAGCUGUUUCAACAUUGACAUGGAGACUGGGAUACUUAAUGUUCUUAUGCCCUUAGACCGUGAAAAAAAAGAGCUCUAUCUCCUUAAUAUUACAAUUUAUGAUUUGGGUAGUCCACAGAAAUCUGCAUGGAGAUUGUUGACUGUCACGGUGGAGGAUGCAAAUGAUAACAAGCCUGUUUUUUUACAGGACAGUUACUCAGUUAAUAUUUUAGAAAGUACAAGUCUUGGUACAGAGAUUAUUCAAGUAGAAGCCAGAGAUAAAGACCUAGGAUCCAACGGGGAAGUGACUUACUCAGUACUGACAGACACCCAGCAAUUUGCCAUCAACAGUUCCACGGGAAUGGUAUACGUGGCUGAUCAACUAGACCGGGAAUCAAAAGCAAACUAUACACUGAAGAUUGAGGCUAGGGACAAAGCAGAGGGUGGCCAUCAGCAGUUUUCCGUUGUGCCUCUGAAGGUUUUUUUAGAUGAUGUCAAUGAUUGCUCUCCAGCCUUUAUACCGUCCAGCUACAACGUGAAGGUCCUUGAGGACCUGCCAGUUGGCACUGUCAUAGCUUGGUUGGAAACUCAUGAUCCAGAUCUCGGCUUGGGAGGUCAAGUCCGUUACUCACUGGUGAAUGAUUACAACGGGCGGUUUGAGAUAGACAAAGCGAGCGGUGCCAUCCGCUUGAACAAAGAGCUCGAUUACGAGAAGCAGCAGUUCUACAACCUAACUGUGCGCGCAAAGGACAAGGGGCGCCCGGUUUCUCUCUCUUCUGUUUCCUUUGUGGAAGUUGAAGUGGUGGAUGUUAACGAAAAUCUCUAUACCCCCUAUUUUCCUGACUUUGCCGUAAUUGGAUCUGUAAAGGAAAACUCCCGCAUUGGCACAAGUGUUUUGCAAGUUAUUGCUCGAGACGAGGACUCUGGAAGGGAUGGAGAGAUCCAGUAUUCCAUCAGGGAUGGCAGCGGCCUGGGGAGAUUCAGCAUAGAUGAAGAAACCGGUGAGUUUUGUUUCUAA